Molecule: ribosomal RNA, 210 nt
Filed under: uncultured bacterium
Lineage: Bacteria
Description: partial 16S ribosomal RNA
Rfam family: Bacterial small subunit ribosomal RNA
Source: RNAcentral
GUUCGGAUUGCAGUCUGCAACUCGACUGCAUGAAGCUGGAAUCGCUAGUAAUCGCGAAUCAGAAUGUCGCGGUGAAUACGUUCCCGGGUCUCGUACACACCGCCCGUCACACCAUGGGAGUUGGUAACGCCCGAAGUCAGUGACCCAACCGGAAGGAGGGAGCUGCCGAAGGCGGGACCGGUAACUGGGGUGAAGUCGUAACAAGGUACC